UCCCCAGUGGCGCAAUUGGUUAGCGCACGGUACUUAUAAGACAGUGAUUUCGUGAGCAAUGCCGGGGUUGUGAGUUCGAGCCUCACCUGGGGAA
This 94-nucleotide transfer RNA is filed under the name Cotesia glomerata. RNAcentral describes it as "tRNA-Ile". It matches the Rfam family "tRNA". From Rfam's summary of the family: Transfer RNA (tRNA) molecules are approximately 80 nucleotides in length. Their secondary structure includes four short double-helical elements and three loops (D, anti-codon, and T loops). The record is from RNAcentral. RNAcentral also lists the same sequence under 1 other name. Lineage: Eukaryota; Metazoa; Arthropoda; Insecta; Hymenoptera; Braconidae.